RNAcentral lists this ribosomal RNA (353 nucleotides) under Acidobacteriota bacterium. Its description in RNAcentral is "Acidobacteria bacterium (groundwater metagenome) partial 23S ribosomal RNA". It matches the Rfam family "Bacterial large subunit ribosomal RNA", at positions 2576 to 2925 of the family's 2925-position model. Lineage: Bacteria; Pseudomonadati; Acidobacteriota. The record is from RNAcentral.
GCUGUUCGCCGGUUAAAGCGGUACGUGAGCUGGGUUUAGAACGUCGCGAGACAGUUCGGUCUCUAUCUGUGAUGGGCGCAGGAGAUUUGAGUGGGGCUGACCUUAGUACGAGAGGACCGGGUUGGACGGACCUCUAGUGUAUCGGUUGUCGCGCCAGCGGCAGCGCCGAGUAGCUACGUCCGGAAGGGAGAAACGCUGAAGGCAUCUAAGCGUGAAACCCUCCACGAGAUGAGAUCUCCCAGGUCGAAAGACCUCUAAAGGCUCCUGGUAGACGACCAGGUUGAUAGGCCAGAUGUGGAAGCGCCGUGAGGCGUUGAGCUGACUGGUACUAAUAAGCCGUGCGGCUUGACCAU